GAUGAACGCUGGCGGCGUGCCUAAUACAUGCAAGUCGAGCGAACAGAUAAGGAGCUUGCUCCUUUGACGUUAGCGGCGGACGGGUGAGUAACACGUGGGUAACCUACCUAUAAGACUGGAAUAACUCCGGGAAACCGGGGCUAAUGCCGGAUAACAUUUAGAACCGCAUGGUUCUAAAGUGAAAGAUGGUUUUGCUAUCACUUAUAGAUGGACCCGCGCCGUAUUAGCUAGUUGGUAAGGUAACGGCUUACCAAGGCAACGAUACGUAGCCGACCUGAGAGGGUGAUCGGCCACACUGGAACUGAGACACGGUCCAGACUCCUACGGGAGGCAGCAGUAGGGAAUCUUCCGCAAUGGGCGAAAGCCUGACGGGGCAACGCCGCGUGAGUGAUGAAGGUCUUCGGAUCGUAAAACUCUGUUAUUAGGGAAGAACAAAUGUGUAAGUAACUGUGCACGUCUUGACGGUACCUAAUCAGAAAGCCACGGCUAACUACGUG
This 497-nucleotide ribosomal RNA is filed under the name uncultured bacterium. RNAcentral's name for it is "partial 16S ribosomal RNA". It matches the Rfam family "Bacterial small subunit ribosomal RNA", at positions 28 to 507 of the family's 1533-position model. The record is from RNAcentral.